Fukomys damarensis (Damara mole-rat) is the source of this 243-nucleotide long non-coding RNA. RefSeq lists it as uncharacterized. Lineage: Eukaryota; Metazoa; Chordata; Mammalia; Rodentia; Bathyergidae. The record is from RefSeq and is a predicted model, not a curated record. The transcript has 2 exons.
GUAAGCAGGCAGAGAUCCAAACACACCCAAAAGAAAUAAAGAUGCAUAGCGACUCCACAGACUUCAAGGCCAUGGGAUCUCAGCAGAUGCAGAGGUGAAUUAACCCUGAAGAAUCCCUCUUCGCGCACUGCGGGCACUGUCUAGGCCUUCUUGGGAAACUGAAUUACCCUGAGGUUGCGUGCCUGCCUCAUCCUGCUUUCACUGGACAACAAAUGAACUUUCUCGAGUUCAACUCCUAAAAUG